GACGAACGCUGGCGGCGUGCUUAACACAUGCAAGUCGAACGGAAAGGCCCUGCUUGCAGGGUACUCGAGUGGCGAACGGGUGAGUAACACGUGGGUGAUCUGCCCUGCACUUCGGGAUAAGCCUGGGAAACUGGGUCUAAUACCGGAUAGGAGCCAUUUUUAGUGUGAUGGUUGGAAAGUUUUUUCGGUGUAGGAUGAGCUCGCGGCCUAUCAGCUUGUUGGUGGGGUAAUGGCCUACCAAGGCGGCGACGGGUAGCCGGCCUGAGAGGGUGGACGGCCACAUUGGGGCUGAGGUACGGCCCAGACUCCUACGGGAGGCAGCAGUGGGGAAUAUUGCACAAUGGGCGCAAGCCUGAUGCAGCGACGCCGCGUGGGGGAUGACGGCCUUCGGGUUGUAAACUCCUUUCGCUAGGGACGAAGCUUUUUGUGACGGUACCUAGAUAAGAAGCACCGGCUAACUACGUG
This 465-nucleotide ribosomal RNA is filed under the name uncultured bacterium. RNAcentral's name for it is "partial 16S ribosomal RNA". It matches the Rfam family "Bacterial small subunit ribosomal RNA", at positions 28 to 507 of the family's 1533-position model. The record is from RNAcentral.